This 497-nucleotide ribosomal RNA is filed under the name uncultured bacterium. Its description in RNAcentral is "partial 16S ribosomal RNA". It matches the Rfam family "Bacterial small subunit ribosomal RNA", at positions 28 to 507 of the family's 1533-position model. The record is from RNAcentral.
GACGAACGCUGGCGGCGUGCCUAAUACAUGCAAGUUGAGCGCUGAAGGUUGGUACUUGUACCAACUGGAUGAGCAGCGAACGGGUGAGUAACGCGUGGGGAAUCUGCCUUUGAGCGGGGGACAACAUUUGGAAACGAAUGCUAAUACCGCAUAAAAACUUUAAACAAAAGUUUUAAGUUUGAAAGAUGCAAUUGAAUCACUCAAAGAUGAUCCCGCGUUGUAUUAGCUAGUUGGUGAGGUAAAGGCUCACCAAGGCGAUGAUACAUAGCCGACCUGAGAGGGUGAUCGGCCACAUUGGGACUGAGACACGGCCCAAACUCCUACGGGAGGCAGCAGGAGGGAAUCUUCGGCAAUGGACGAAAGUCUGACCGAGCAACGCCGCGUGAGUGAAGAAGGUUUUCGGAUCGUAAAACUCUGUUGGUAGAGAAGAACGUUGGUGAGAGUGGAAAGCUCAUCAAGUGACGGUAACUACCCAGAAAGGGACGGCUAACUACGUG